Molecule: ribosomal RNA, 310 nt
Filed under: uncultured bacterium
Lineage: Bacteria
Description: partial 16S ribosomal RNA
Rfam family: Bacterial small subunit ribosomal RNA
Source: RNAcentral
AAGAGACAGCAGUAGCCGCGGUAAUACGAAGGGGGCUAGCGUUGCUCGGAAUCACUGGGCGUAAAGGGCGCGUAGGCGGCCGAUUGAGUCGGGGAUGAAAGCCUGUGGCUCAACCACAGAAUUGCCUUCGAUACUGGUUGGCUUGAGACCGGAAGAGGACAGCGGAACUGCGAGUGUAGAGGUGAAAUUCGUAGAUAUUCGCAAGAACACCAGUGGCGAAGGCGGCUGUCUGGUCCGGUUCUGACGCUGAGGCGCGAAAGCGUGGGGAGCAAACAGGAUUAGAUACCCGCGUAGUCCCUGUCUCUUAUAC